GACGAACGCUGGCGGCGUGCCUAAUACAUGCAAGUCGUACGCUUCUUUUUCCACCGGAGCUUGCUCCACCGGAAAAAGAAGAGUGGCGAACGGGUGAGUAACACGUGGGUAACCUGCCCAUCAGAAGGGGAUAACACUUGGAAACAGGUGCUAAUACCGUAUAACAAUCGAAACCGCAUGGUUUUGAUUUGAAAGGCGCUUUCGGGUGUCGCUGAUGGAUGGACCCGCGGUGCAUUAGCUAGUUGGUGAGGUAACGGCUCACCAAGGCCACGAUGCAUAGCCGACCUGAGAGGGUGAUCGGCCACAUUGGGACUGAGACACGGCCCAAACUCCUACGGGAGGCAGCAGUAGGGAAUCUUCGGCAAUGGACGAAAGUCUGACCGAGCAACGCCGCGUGAGUGAAGAAGGUUUUCGGAUCGUAAAACUCUGUUGUUAGAGAAGAACAAGGAUGAGAGUAACUGUUCAUCCCUUGACGGUAUCUAACCAGAAAGCCACGGCUAACUACGUGCCAGCAGCCGCGGUAAUACGUAGGUGGCAAGCGUUGUCCGGAUUUAUUGGGCGUAAAGCGAGCGCAGGCGGUUUCUUAAGUCUGAUGUGAAAGCCCCCGGCUCAACCGGGGAGGGUCAUUGGAAACUGGGAGACUUGAGUGCAGAAGAGGAGAGUGGAAUUCCAUGUGUAGCGGUGAAAUGCGUAGAUAUAUGGAGGAACACCAGUGGCGAAGGCGGCUCUCUGGUCUGUAACUGACGCUGAGGCUCGAAAGCGUGGGGAGCAAACAGGAUUAGAUACCCUGGUAGUCCACGCCGUAAACGAUGAGUGCUAAGUGUUGGAGGGUUUCCGCCCUUCAGUGCUGCAGCUAACGCAUUAAGCACUCCGCCUGGGGAGUACGACCGCAAGGUUGAAACUCAAAGGAAUUGACGGGGGCCCGCACAAGCGGUGGAGCAUGUGGUUUAAUUCGAAGCAACGCGAAGAACCUUACCAGGUCUUGACAUCCUUUGACCACUCU
This 1003-nucleotide ribosomal RNA is filed under the name Enterococcus hirae. Its description in RNAcentral is "bacterial SSU rRNA". It matches the Rfam family "Bacterial small subunit ribosomal RNA", at positions 28 to 1001 of the family's 1533-position model. Lineage: Bacteria; Bacillati; Bacillota; Bacilli; Lactobacillales; Enterococcaceae. The record is from RNAcentral.